AACGAACGCUGGCGGCGUGGAUUAGGCAUGCAAGUCGAACGAGAAUCUGGAGGUUCAAAGUUUUCGGACAAGAACUUUCGGAGGAAAGUGGCGGAAGGGUGAGUACAACAUGGAUAAUCUACCUUCAAGUUGGGUAUAGCUUCCCGAAAGGGGAGAUAAUCCCGAAUGUGGUGAUCCGGCGCCUGUCGGAGAAUCCAAAGGUGGGGACCGCAAGGCCUAGCCGCUUGAAGAUGAGUCCGUGCACUAUCAGCUAGUUGGUGAGGUAAUGGCUCACCAAGGCGAUGACGGUUAGCUGGUCUGAGAGGAUGGUCAGCCACACUGGGACUGAGAUACUGCCCAGACUCCUACGGGAGGCUGCAGUCGAGAAUCAUUCGCAAUGGGCGCAAGCCUGACGGUGCGACGUCGCGUGGAGGAUGAAGGUCUUCGGAUUGUAAACUCCUAGUCAUGUGGAUAAAUGGACCAGGGCAUGAAUAGUGCCUUGGAA
Molecule: ribosomal RNA, 484 nt
Filed under: uncultured bacterium
Lineage: Bacteria
Description: bacterial SSU rRNA
Rfam family: Bacterial small subunit ribosomal RNA
Source: RNAcentral